Molecule: ribosomal RNA, 705 nt
Filed under: Phaeobacter sp.
Lineage: Bacteria; Pseudomonadati; Pseudomonadota; Alphaproteobacteria; Rhodobacterales; Roseobacteraceae
Description: bacterial SSU rRNA
Rfam family: Bacterial small subunit ribosomal RNA
Source: RNAcentral
CGAGCUUACCAUGCAGUCGAGCGCACUCUUCGGAGUGAGCGGCGGACGGGUUAGUAACGCGUGGGAACGUGCCCUUCUCUAAGGAAUAGCCACUGGAAACGGUGAGUAAUACCUUAUACGCCCUUCGGGGGAAAGAUUUAUCGGAGAAGGAUCGGCCCGCGUUAGAUUAGAUAGUUGGUGGGGUAAUGGCCUACCAAGUCUACGAUCUAUAGCUGGUUUUAGAGGAUGAUCAGCAACACUGGGACUGAGACACGGCCCAGACUCCUACGGGAGGCAGCAGUGGGGAAUCUUGGACAAUGGGCGCAAGCCUGAUCCAGCCAUGCCGCGUGAGUGAUGAAGGCCUUAGGGUCGUAAAGCUCUUUCGCCAGAGAUGAUAAUGACAGUAUCUGGUAAAGAAACCCCGGCUAACUCCGUGCCAGCAGCCGCGGUAAUACGGAGGGGGUUAGCGUUGUUCGGAAUUACUGGGCGUAAAGCGCACGUAGGCGGAUCAGAAAGUAUAGGGUGAAAUCCCAGGGCUCAACCCUGGAACUGCCUUGUAAACUCCUGGUCUUGAGUUCGAGAGAGGUGAGUGGAAUUCCGAGUGUAGAGGUGAAAUUCGUAGAUAUUCGGAGGAACACCAGUGGCGAAGGCGGCUCACUGGCUCGAUACUGACGCUGAGGUGCGAAAGUGUGGGGAGCAAACAGGAUUAGAUACCCUGGUAGUCCA